This 389-nucleotide ribosomal RNA is filed under the name Choanoflagellata sp. RNAcentral's name for it is "partial small subunit ribosomal RNA". It matches the Rfam family "Eukaryotic small subunit ribosomal RNA", at positions 582 to 975 of the family's 1831-position model. The record is from RNAcentral. Lineage: Eukaryota; Choanoflagellata.
AUUCCAGCUCCAAUAGCGUAUAUUAAAGUUGUUGCAGUUAAAAAGCUCGUAGUUGGAUUUCUGUUCUCGAGGAUCGGUCCGCCUCACGGUGAGCACUGGUUUUUCUUGGGGACAUCCUCUCGAAGGCGGGUGGUGCACUUAAUUGUGUGCUGCUUGGAUUCGGGACCUUUACUUUGAAAAAAUUAGAGUGUUCAAAGCAGGCGUCGGCUUGAAUACAUUAGCAUGGAAUAAUGGAAUAGGACUUUGGUUCUAUUUUGUUGGUUUCUAGGACCGAAGUAAUGAUUAAUAGGGACAGUUGGGGGCAUUAGUAUUUAAUUGUCAGAGGUGAAAUUCUUGGAUUUAUGAAAGACUAACUACUGCGAAAGCAUUUGCCAAGGAUGUUUUCAUUG